This 329-nucleotide ribosomal RNA is filed under the name uncultured eukaryote. RNAcentral's name for it is "partial 18S ribosomal RNA". It matches the Rfam family "Eukaryotic small subunit ribosomal RNA", at positions 1470 to 1796 of the family's 1831-position model. The record is from RNAcentral.
CCCUUAGAUGUUCUGGGCCGCACGCGCGCUACAAUGAUGAAUUCAACGAGUUUAUAACCUUGGUUGAAAAGCCUGGGUAAUCUUUUGAACUUUCGUCGUGAUGGGGCUAGACCCUUGCAAUUAUUGGUCUCCAACGAGGAAUUCCUAGUAAACGCAAGUCAUCAGCUUGCAUUGAUUACGUCCCUGCCCUUUGUACACACCGCCCGUCGCACCUACCGAUUGAAUGGACCGGUGAAAUCUUCGGAUUGAGACUUUGUUUUCUUCACGGAAAACGCUGUUUUAAAAAGUUGAUUAAACCUUACCAUUUAGAGGAAGGUGAAGUCGUAACA